This 2777-nucleotide ribosomal RNA is filed under the name Escherichia coli. RNAcentral describes it as "23S ribosomal RNA". It matches the Rfam family "Bacterial large subunit ribosomal RNA". Lineage: Bacteria; Pseudomonadati; Pseudomonadota; Gammaproteobacteria; Enterobacterales; Enterobacteriaceae. The record is from RNAcentral.
GGUUAAGCGACUAAGCGUACACGGUGGAUGCCCUGGCAGUCAGAGGCGAUGAAGGACGUGCUAAUCUGCGAUAAGCGUCGGUAAGGUGAUAUGAACCGUUAUAACCGGCGAUUUCCGAAUGGGGAAACCCAGUGUGNNNNNNNNNNNNNNNNNNNNNNNNNNNNNNNNNNNNNNNNNNNNNNNNNNNNNNNNNNNNNNNNNNNNNNNNNNNNNNNNNNNNNNNNNNNNNNUGUGAGCUCGAUGAGUAGGGCGGGACACGUGGUAUCCUGUCUGAAUAUGGGGGGACCAUCCUCCAAGGCUAAAUACUCCUGACUGACCGAUAGUGAACCAGUACCGUGAGGGAAAGGCGAAAAGAACCCCGGCGAGGGGAGUGAAAAAGAACCUGAAACCGUGUACGUACAAGCAGUGGGAGCACGCUUAGGCGUGUGACUGCGUACCUUUUGUAUAAUGGGUCAGCGACUUAUAUUCUGUAGCAAGGUUAACCGAAUAGGGGAGCCGAAGGGAAACCGAGUCUUAACUGGGCGUUAAGUUGCAGGGUAUAGACCCGAAACCCGGUGAUCUAGCCAUGGGCAGGUUGAAGGUUGGGUAACACUAACUGGAGGACCGAACCGACUAAUGUUGAAAAAUUAGCGGAUGACUUGUGGCUGGGGGUGAAAGGCCAAUCAAACCGGGAGAUAGCUGGUUCUCCCCGAAAGCUAUUUAGGUAGCGCCUCGUGAAUUCAUCUCCGGGGGUAGAGCACUGUUUCGGCAAGGGGGUCAUCCCGACUUACCAACCCGAUGCAAACUGCGAAUACCGGAGAAUGUUAUCACGGGAGACACACGGCGGGUGCUAACGUCCGUCGUGAAGAGGGAAACAACCCAGACCGCCAGCUAAGGUCCCAAAGUCAUGGUUAAGUGGGAAACGAUGUGGGAAGGCCCAGACAGCCAGGAUGUUGGCUUAGAAGCAGCCAUCAUUUAAAGAAAGCGUAAUAGCUCACUGGUCGAGUCGGCCUGCGCGGAAGAUGUAACGGGGCUAAACCAUGCACCGAAGCUGCGGCAGCGACGCUUAUGCGUUGUUGGGUAGGGGAGCGUUCUGUAAGCCUGCGAAGGUGUGCUGUGAGGCAUGCUGGAGGUAUCAGAAGUGCGAAUGCUGACAUAAGUAACGAUAAAGCGGGUGAAAAGCCCGCUCGCCGGAAGACCAAGGGUUCCUGUCCAACGUUAAUCGGGGCAGGGUGAGUCGACCCCUAAGGCGAGGCCGAAAGGCGUAGUCGAUGGGAAACAGGUUAAUAUUCCUGUACUUGGUGUUACUGCGAAGGGGGGACGGAGAAGGCUAUGUUGGCCGGGCGACGGUUGUCCCGGUUUAAGCGUGUAGGCUGGUUUUCCAGGCAAAUCCGGAAAAUCAAGGCUGAGGCGUGAUGACGAGGCACUACGGUGCUGAAGCAACAAAUGCCCUGCUUCCAGGAAAAGCCUCUAAGCAUCAGGUAACAUCAAAUCGUACCCCAAACCGACACAGGUGGUCAGGUAGAGAAUACCAAGGCGCUUGAGAGAACUCGGGUGAAGGAACUAGGCAAAAUGGUGCCGUAACUUCGGGAGAAGGCACGCUGAUAUGUAGGUGAAGUCCCUUGCGGAUGGAGCUGAAAUCAGUCGAAGAUACCAGCUGGCUGCAACUGUUUAUUAAAAACACAGCACUGUGCAAACACGAAAGUGGACGUAUACGGUGUGACGCCUGCCCGGUGCCGGAAGGUUAAUUGAUGGGGUCAGCGCAAGCGAAGCUCUUGAUCGAAGCCCCGGUAAACGGCGGCCGUAACUAUAACGGUCCUAAGGUAGCGAAAUUCCUUGUCGGGUAAGUUCCGACCUGCACGAAUGGCGUAAUGAUGGCCAGGCUGUCUCCACCCGAGACUCAGUGAAAUUGAACUCGCUGUGAAGAUGCAGUGUACCCGCGGCAAGACGGAAAGACCCCGUGAACCUUUACUAUAGCUUGACACUGAACAUUGAGCCUUGAUGUGUAGGAUAGGUGGGAGGCUUUGAAGUGUGGACGCCAGUCUGCAUGGAGCCGACCUUGAAAUACCACCCUUUAAUGUUUGAUGUUCUAACGUUGACCCGUAAUCCGGGUUGCGGACAGUGUCUGGUGGGUAGUUUGACUGGGGCGGUCUCCUCCUAAAGAGUAACGGAGGAGCACGAAGGUUGGCUAAUCCUGGUCGGACAUCAGGAGGUUAGUGCAAUGGCAUAAGCCAGCUUGACUGCGAGCGUGACGGCGCGAGCAGGUGCGAAAGCAGGUCAUAGUGAUCCGGUGGUUCUGAAUGGAAGGGCCAUCGCUCAACGGAUAAAAGGUACUCCGGGGAUAACAGGCUGAUACCGCCCAAGAGUUCAUAUCGACGGCGGUGUUUGGCACCUCGAUGUCGGCUCAUCACAUCCUGGGGCUGAAGUAGGUCCCAAGGGUAUGGCUGUUCGCCAUUUAAAGUGGUACGCGAGCUGGGUUUAGAACGUCGUGAGACAGUUCGGUCCCUAUCUGCCGUGGGCGCUGGAGAACUGAGGGGGGCUGCUCCUAGUACGAGAGGACCGGAGUGGACGCAUCACUGGUGUUCGGGUUGUCAUGCCAAUGGCACUGCCCGGUAGCUAAAUGCGGAAGAGAUAAGUGCUGAAAGCAUCUAAGCACGAAACUUGCCCCGAGAUGAGUUCUCCCUGACUCCUUGAGAGUCCUGAAGGAACGUUGAAGACGACGACGUUGAUAGGCCGGGUGUGUAAGCGCAGCGAUGCGUUGAGCUAACCGGUACUAAUGAACCGUGAGGCUUAACCUU